This 768-nucleotide long non-coding RNA is filed under the name Oryza brachyantha (malo sina). RNAcentral's name for it is "long non-coding RNA (OBRA_LNC000034)". Lineage: Eukaryota; Viridiplantae; Streptophyta; Magnoliopsida; Poales; Poaceae. The record is from RNAcentral.
AACGGAUAAAUGUAGGUAUGGUUAAAAACUUGUAAUAUGAAAUAGAGGAAGUACAAAUUAUACAGAAUCCCUAUGAUAUGGAUGUUACCUGUACCAUACAAUAUGAGAAAAACUUAUAAUAUGAAAUAGAGAGAAAACUUAUAAUAUGAAAUAGGGAGAGUUUACUCUCCUCUUUUGCAUCUUCGCCAUCUCCUGAUGAGAAGCGUAUCUGACGAGAAGCUUGUUCAGAAAUUCAGCAGUGGAAAUAUAGUAGUAGAAAGGGACAUGAAGACCUCAGGAAUUCGAAUGCUUUCAUGCAACAGAUCAAUAAAACCAAACCUAGAACAUGCAAGGGAAAGUAAAUAUAAGAUCUCUGUUAUUGGUGCCAACUGCGUAUGAUCAUAGCAUUGAAGAUUGAUGCCAAAAUCAGAUAACUCUGUUGCCAAAACAACGCAGUACAGGAAGGUCGGCGCUUUCAAUAAGGAUAACUACAUCAAACUUGAAUUCAACAUCAAUGAGGCCCCACUAUGGUGCAUAGAUGCAAAACACCAAAUAGUUAUGUGAAUCAAGUGUGGUAGGGAAGGCCAAGGCAACAAUGCUGAGUGUAAAUCUACUUUGACGUGCUGAACAUGCAAAAUAUCUCAAUGGAUUGGUCUGUGCAUCAGAUGAACUAUGAGCAAACAAAACAUGCCUAUUGAAAACAUGAAGCGCGCCAACUUUUAUAGAUUCAGGAACAAGGGGAUACCUACAGAGCAAUUGAAACGAUUUUCUAUCUGCGUAACAGUUUAA